RNAcentral lists this non-coding RNA (28 nucleotides) under Cricetulus griseus (Chinese hamster). Lineage: Eukaryota; Metazoa; Chordata; Mammalia; Rodentia; Cricetidae. The record is from RNAcentral.
UAAUAUGGAAAAGCUGCUCUCAACCUUU